GCUGCUCCUCUCACGUUCCGAAUAAAAUAAAUUUCGCACACGUUUCGAGGAAGGGUUCGACAUAAAAAACGAAAAACAAAACACAAUCCUAACGUAUUUUUGUUGUUAGCCCGUGGGGGAAACGAAGAGUAAAACGAGUUGACGGGCGCAGAACGCUAACAAGUGGUGGCGGCGGUGACCCGCAGGUCGAAUUCGAGUGCUCAAAAAAAAAAAACG
Cinara cedri is the source of this 216-nucleotide non-coding RNA. The record is from the annotation of a GenBank genome assembly. NCBI's taxonomy places the organism in Eukaryota, Metazoa, Arthropoda, Insecta, Hemiptera, Aphididae.